GCAUUGGUAGUUCAGUAGAAUUCUCAUCUUCCAUGCAGGAGACCUGGAUCCUAUUCCCAGCCAAUGCA
RNAcentral lists this transfer RNA (68 nucleotides) under Loxodonta africana (African savanna elephant). It matches the Rfam family "tRNA". From Rfam's summary of the family: Transfer RNA (tRNA) molecules are approximately 80 nucleotides in length. Their secondary structure includes four short double-helical elements and three loops (D, anti-codon, and T loops). The record is from Rfam by way of RNAcentral. Lineage: Eukaryota; Metazoa; Chordata; Mammalia; Proboscidea; Elephantidae.